This 279-nucleotide ribosomal RNA is filed under the name uncultured bacterium. RNAcentral describes it as "partial 16S ribosomal RNA". It matches the Rfam family "Bacterial small subunit ribosomal RNA", at positions 506 to 784 of the family's 1533-position model. The record is from RNAcentral.
UGCCAGCCGCCGCGGUAAGACGGAGGGGGCUAGCGUUGUUCGGAAUUACUGGGCGUAAAGCGCGCGUAGGCGGCGCAUUAAGUCAGAGGUGAAAGCCCGGGGCUCAACCCCGGAAAUGCCUUUGAGACUGGUGUGCUUGAGUGCGGAAGAGGUGAGUGGAAUUCCCAGUGUAGAGGUGAAAUUCGUAGAUAUUGGGAAGAACACCAGUGGCGAAGGCGGCUCACUGGUCCGUAACUGACGCUGAGGUGCGAAAGCGUGGGGAGCAAACAGGAUUAGAUA